GAUGAAGAACGCAGCGAAAUGCGAUAAGUAAUGUGAAUUGCAGAAUUCAGUGAAUCAUCGAAUCUUUGAACGCACAUUGCGCCCGCCAGUAUUCUGGCGGGCAUGCCUGUUCGAGCGUCAUUUCAACCAUCAAGCCCCCGGCUUGUGUUGGGGACCUGCGGCUGCCGCAGGCCCUGAAAUGCAGUGGCGGGCUCGCUGUCACUCCGAGCGUAGUAGUUACAUCUCGCUCUGGGCGUGCUGCGGGUUCCGGCCGUUAAAAGCCUUAUUUACACAAGGUUGGCCUCGGAUCAGGUAGGAAGACCCGCUGAACUUAAGCAUAUCAAUAAGCGGAGGA
This 334-nucleotide unclassified non-coding RNA is filed under the name soil metagenome. Its description in RNAcentral is "partial contains 5.8S ribosomal RNA, internal transcribed spacer 2, and large subunit ribosomal RNA". The stretch from base 1 to 120 matches the Rfam family "5.8S ribosomal RNA", at positions 35 to 154 of the family's 154-position model. The record is from RNAcentral.